RNAcentral lists this ribosomal RNA (362 nucleotides) under Cirrhitichthys oxycephalus (coral hawkfish). RNAcentral describes it as "partial 12S ribosomal RNA". It matches the Rfam family "Bacterial small subunit ribosomal RNA", at positions 1022 to 1533 of the family's 1533-position model. Lineage: Eukaryota; Metazoa; Chordata; Actinopteri; Centrarchiformes; Cirrhitidae. The record is from RNAcentral.
UUUCUUGUCACCCCCGCCUAUAUAUCUCCGUCGCCAGCUUACCCUGUGAAGGCCUCAUAGUAAGUUUAACCGGUGAGUACCACCCCUAACGUCAGGUCGAGAUGUAGCGCAUGGGAAGGGAAGAAAUGGGCUACAUUCCCUAAACAUAGAGAAUACGAAUGAUAAGUUGAAAUGCCUAUCUGAAGGAGGAUUUAGUAGUAAGUAGAAAAUAGAGCGUUCUGCUGAAACCGGCCCUGAAGCGCGCACACACCGCCCGUCACUCUCCCCGAGCUAACCUGUCAACGUAAUUAAAACACUAACACUGCACGAGGGGAGGCAAGUCGUAACAUGGUAAGUGUACCGGAAGGUGCACUUGGCCAAAC